RNAcentral lists this ribosomal RNA (253 nucleotides) under uncultured bacterium. RNAcentral describes it as "partial 16S ribosomal RNA". It matches the Rfam family "Bacterial small subunit ribosomal RNA", at positions 524 to 776 of the family's 1533-position model. The record is from RNAcentral.
UACGUAGGGUGCGAGCGUUAAUCGGAAUUACUGGGCGUAAAGCGUGCGCAGGCGGAUUGUUAAGCAAGAUGUGAAAUCUCCGGGCUUAACCUGGGAAUGGCAUUUUGAACUGGCAAUCUAGAGUGUGUCAGAGGGGGGUAGAAUUCCACGUGUAGCAGUGAAAUGCGUAGAGACGUGGAGGAACACCGAUGGCGAAGGCAGCGUCCUGGGCCAGCACUGACGCUCAUGCACGAAAGCGUGGGGAGCAAACAGG